GACGAACGCUGGCGGCGUGCUUAACACAUGCAAGUCGAACGGAAAGGCCCUGCUUUUGUGGGGUGCUCGAGUGGCGAACGGGUGAGUAACACGUGAGUAACCUGCCUUUGACAUUGGGAUAACUUCAGGAAACUGGGGCUAAUACCGGAUAGGAGCUCCUGCUGCAUGGUGGGGGUUGGAAAGUUAUGGCGGUUGGGGAUGGACUCGUGGCUUAUCAGCUUGUUGGUGGGGUAGUGUCUUACCAAGGCUUUGACGGGUAGCCGGCCUGAAAGGGUGACCGGCCAAAUCAGGACUGAGAUAAGACCGAAACACAUACGGGAGGCAGCAGUUGGGAGUAUUGCACAAUGUGCGGAGGCCUGGUGCAGCAACUCCGCGUGCGGGAUGACAGAAUUCGGGUUGUAUACCACUUUCGCCUCUGUCGAAACGUGAAUGACGGUAAUUGGUAAAGAAACCCCGACUAACUCCGUG
This 468-nucleotide ribosomal RNA is filed under the name uncultured bacterium. RNAcentral's name for it is "partial 16S ribosomal RNA". It matches the Rfam family "Bacterial small subunit ribosomal RNA", at positions 28 to 507 of the family's 1533-position model. The record is from RNAcentral.